Leptopilina boulardi is the source of this 1440-nucleotide long non-coding RNA. RefSeq lists it as uncharacterized. Lineage: Eukaryota; Metazoa; Arthropoda; Insecta; Hymenoptera; Figitidae. The record is from RefSeq and is a predicted model, not a curated record. The transcript has 3 exons.
CAAGAUGUUUAAUAUGUAAAGAAAGGGAGGCAAACCUCAAUACCUAGAGGUAUAGCACUUGCUCUCAGUCUUUUUUGUAAAGAAAUUAUUUACUUUCAAAAAGUGAAAAGAGUUUUCAGUUAUAAAUCAACCUAUGAGUUGAUGAUUUAUAUAAAAUUCAUCAGUUAUUUGAGAAACUAUUCUUGAAAUUUACCUUAGUCCUAUCUAUUUUCACAAAAAAAAGUUGCGGACUCAUAUUUUUUUCUGUGUUGCCCUAUUAUUAACUAGGUCCAAGUUUGGCACUCUAGCUUGUUCCUACAAUGUUUUGUGAUGCGAUUUUAGCCUGGUCCUAAUCUGGGUGCCUAGUUAGAACCAGUUUUAAUAAUAAAUAAUAAAUCAUUAAAAAAAUUAAUUUUAACCACAAUUAAUACUAUAUAACUUUCUAGAAGGAAUAUCCUGUAAGUUUUAAAUUAAACUCUGAGAGUUGAAUUAAAAUUUGAACCCUACAGGAAUCGAACCCCAGACGCAUGACCUACACGGAAAGAAAUGCUAUCGAAAUUUCAGCCAUAAACUUAUGGUUGAGAUUUCUGGUUGAAUUGGUUAUUCAGUCUGUCAAAUUGGCAGUGUAAGAGACCCAACGAACCUUACUACUAAAUCGUUCCUACGUCUCACGGAUACAACAAGUAUAUAGGCACUAGUAGCAGUGGUGGUGGGGAUGGUUUCCGUAGUCCGUGCUGGAACGCGAUUGACAUGGUCAUGUUUAAAGCUUUAUUGCAAAAAAAGACCAGUCUAGAAUAUAUAAACAGGGGCUGCCAAGGUAGGACCAAUGUUGGGCCAACAAUCAUUUUAGGCAUACGUUGGUGAUUUCUACACGGGUUAAAAUAAAUAUAUAUAUAGGUAGAUUUAGUUAAUUUUCUUCGUGUAUACUCAAAAAGUUUUACUUGAGCAUUAUAAUUUCUGAAAGAGAUAUACAUUUAUGAAUCUGAAAAACUGUUGAUAAGAGAAUCAAAGUCAGGUUAGAAUAUGCAAAGUAUUUAUUGUAUUUAAAUAUUUGCUUAAUAUAAUUAUUCCGAUUGAAAAAUGUUUUAUUAAUUAAUUUCAAGUUUUCCUUUUAAAAAUUAAUAAUUUAUAGUCAUUACAUCUUCGCUCGAGAUAUAAUUAGAAUGUCCUCUCUUGUUAAGAGCAACAACGUGGAAUCUAUAUGCAUGAUUUGGUAAAAGUCCAGUGACUGUAUAUUUGGGGAAAUCUGAACCGUCAAUCAAGUCAAAAUUAUCAAAUACUGCUCUAUCAUGGUAGUAUGUAACCGCGCAAAGGCGUUUUUCAAAAUAUCUUCCUUCUUUCUUAUCUAAUACAAUUUUUGUUUACAGUUUAUUAUUAAUAUGAUUAAAGCAAUUAAUUAGAAAAGAAAAAAACUCGAAAAUAUUAAGUACAAUAAGAAAUAUAAUAUAAAAAUAGUUUUUG